AGUGAACGCUGGCGGUAGGCCUAACACAUGCAAGUCGAACGGCAGCACAGUAAGAGCUUGCUCUUACGGGUGGCGAGUGGCGGACGGGUGAGGAAUACAUCGGAAUCUACUUUUUCGUGGGGGAUAACGUAGGGAAACUUACGCUAAUACCGCAUACGACCUACGGGUGAAAGCAGGGGAUCUUCGGACCUUGCGCGAUUGAAUGAGCCGAUGUCGGAUUAGCUAGUUGGCGGGGUAAAGGCCCACCAAGGCGACGAUCCGUAGCUGGUCUGAGAGGAUGAUCAGCCGCACUGGAGCUGGGACGCGCUCCCACCUCGUGAGGGAGGCAGCAGCGGGAAAUAUUGGGCAGUGGGCGGAAGCCUGUUCCAGCCAUUCCGCGUGGGUGAAGAAGGCCUUCGGGUUGUAAAGCCCUUUUGUUGGGAAAGAAAAGCGGCAGGUUAAUACCGCGCUGUUCUGACGGUACCCAAAGAAUAGGCACCGGCUAACUUCGU
This 491-nucleotide ribosomal RNA is filed under the name uncultured bacterium. RNAcentral's name for it is "partial 16S ribosomal RNA". It matches the Rfam family "Bacterial small subunit ribosomal RNA", at positions 29 to 506 of the family's 1533-position model. The record is from RNAcentral.